UGGGGAAUAUUGGGCAAUGGGCGCAAGCCUGACCCAGCAACGCCGCGUGAAGGAAGAAGGCUUUCGGGUUGUAAACUUCUUUUCUGGGGACGAAGCAAGUGACGGUACCCCAGGAAUAAGCCACGGCUAACUACGUGCCAGCAGCCGCGGUAAUACGUAGGUGGCAAGCGUUAUCCGGAUUUAUUGGGUGUAAAGGGCGUGUAGGCGGGAGUGCAAGUCAGAUGUGAAAACUAUGGGCUCAACCCAUAGCCUGCAUUUGAAACUGUACUUCUUGAGUGCUGGAGAGGCAAUCGGAAUUCCGUGUGUAGCGGUGAAAUGCGUAGAUAUACGGAGGAACACCAGUGGCGAAGGCGGAUUGCUGGACAGUAACUGACGCUGAAGCACGAAGGCGUGGGUAUCGAACAGGAUUAGAUACC
Molecule: ribosomal RNA, 416 nt
Filed under: uncultured bacterium
Lineage: Bacteria
Description: bacterial SSU rRNA
Rfam family: Bacterial small subunit ribosomal RNA
Source: RNAcentral